RNAcentral lists this long non-coding RNA (392 nucleotides) under Selaginella moellendorffii. Its description in RNAcentral is "long non-coding RNA (SMOE_LNC000638)". The record is from RNAcentral. Lineage: Eukaryota; Viridiplantae; Streptophyta; Lycopodiopsida; Selaginellales; Selaginellaceae.
CUGUAAGCUCCGCCCAAAAUCCAGAGUCUUUUCUCUUGUCGCUCGGGGAAGAUAGCUGAAGAACAGAGCUUGCAUUGUCUCUCUCUCUCUCUCUCUCUCUCUCUCUCCCCCCCUCUCGUCUAUUUCACGGCGAAAGAAAGAGAGGAGUGCUUGGUCAAUUCCCACUUUAAAAGAUGGCCUGCAUUGUCCAAGUUAGAAUCUAAGAAGGAACACCUUUUCCCUUACUCUUUACUUGUCGAGAAGUCUGUAGAUCAAUCCAAAGUCUAGAGCUCCGCAAGUGUUGAUCGAUCGGAUCUCCAUGGUAGACGAGCAGCGGGCAGGAUCAUCUUAGAUUUUUCUUUCCUUGUCUUGCUGUUCUUGGCGAGGAUUGAUGGGAUUCCUUGAAUGCAGGA